GUCAAGGGUAGGAAGGGAGAAGUUGCAAGCGCAGACAGUAGCCUCUAGCUCUACAGGGAAGUUCUGGGUCUGUCACUAAGCCAGGUGAGAGGCACACACUAGACAGCUAGACAGUCUCCAACCACUGGCAUGGAUCACAGGGCGCCGGAGCGGUUGGCAUGGACGAAAUCCGAGGGGCACAGUGCAUGUCCGCAGGCCCCAGGAGGGGGCGAAAGGAGGUGGUAGCUGGGCAGAGAAGCCUGGAGCGCCACCCUUGUCUCCGGACGUCCCGGCUCCGGCCGCGAGGAGGUGACAUGGCUACAACGCCCAGGCCGCGGGGACCCCGCCGCCACCCCUUCCCAGCGUGGAAGAAAGAAAAAAAGAAAGAUUUGGGUUUGAAUGCUAGCUCCUUCAUGCACAGCUGUUGCAGGGGCCGUCAGAACAUCUACCCGUCAACUCUGUCCAUCUUGAAAAACCACAAAACAACAACAACAACAACAACAACAACAACAACAACAACAACAACAACAACAACAAAAACCCCCUCAAACUGUUGGUCUUAGAACUAAAAAACUGCAAUGUAGACGGAAGCUCAGUAAGAGAUUGGUGGUGUUCUCUAUUGGACUUUGUGUGCUAUUUUGAUGCCUCUUUGCCACUGCCUUCCCUGAGCUGAAUUGCUCAUUUUUGUCUUUGCCACAAACAUUUCUAUAGUCAGUUUUGCCCUGAAUGUCACACGGUGACAUGUGUAAGCCUUCUCCUUUCAGCUAUUUCUUGAAAACCAUUUCAAUCCAUUGGACAAGCUGCUAUAGACUGUUCAGAAUACUUUGAACUGGAGAUGUCAAUCGCUUUUGCUAGAGAGGCAGUUACAGUUCAGCAGAGAAUGUUACAGGGCUCUGUGGUGGCCCCAACGGGAAAACUGUUUUUCUUUGGUCCAAAGAGUAGAAUCUACCUUUAGCCUGGAUAGAGACCAGACAAUCCUGAGUCAUAAUUCAGUUGUGACAAGCCAAUUACUUGACUAGGGGAUCACCCCUCCAGCAUGCAGGUUCACUUAUACCGUGGUAAAAGACACAGGAGUUGGCGAAGCUAUCCCUUUAAUGAGAUAAUGUACUUUUUCAGAAACCCGAUUCUGUUCAGUAAAGGCAGAGACAGUGCUAGGAUGGAAAGGUCUGUCUGCCCUUCUGAGUCCUGGCUCUGGUAUAGUUUUUUCCCUUCCUCCCUUCCUCCUCCUCCUCUCCUCCUUUUUCUUUUCUUUUCUUUCUUUUUUUUUAAAAAAUAUUUUUCUUAGGACAUUGGCCAGAGUCAAAAUACUCUUUUUCUGUUACUUUGUGUCUUUCCAUCAUUUUCUGAAGUACCUCCCUCCCCCAUACUAUGUGACAGCUCACAAAUGUCAGGUUUCUUUUCUUCCUCUUGUCUAUCUUUCUUCUCUAGGCGGGGGUGGAAAUGUACAGUUUGCCUACUCGGGUAUUUUUUUUUUUGUCUAAUAAAAUUGUCUUUGAGGUUUCUUCUUA
Rattus norvegicus (Norway rat) is the source of this 1487-nucleotide long non-coding RNA. RefSeq lists it as uncharacterized. The record is from RefSeq and is a predicted model, not a curated record. Lineage: Eukaryota; Metazoa; Chordata; Mammalia; Rodentia; Muridae.